This 774-nucleotide ribosomal RNA is filed under the name uncultured Neocallimastigales. RNAcentral describes it as "partial large subunit ribosomal RNA". It matches the Rfam family "Eukaryotic large subunit ribosomal RNA", at positions 20 to 616 of the family's 3401-position model. Lineage: Eukaryota; Fungi; Neocallimastigomycota; Neocallimastigomycetes; Neocallimastigales. The record is from RNAcentral.
UACUAGAGUAGCACUCGCAUAUCAAUAAGCGGAGGAAAAGAAACUAACAAGGAUUCCCCUAGUAACGGCGAGUGAAGCGGGAAGAGCUCAAAUUUGAAAUCUUAAAGGGUUUCCCUUUACGAAUUGUAGUUUAAAGAAGUGUUUUCUGUUGAGGUUUUGGUAAAAGUUCUUUGGAAUAGGACAUUAUAGAGGGUGAGAAUCCCGUAUUUGACCUUUACUUUCAACUUUGUGAUACACUUUCAAAGAGUCGGAUUGUUUGGGAAUGCAGUCCAAAAUGGGUGGUAAAUUUCAUCUAAAGCUAAAUAUUGGCGAGAGACCGAUAGCGAACAAGUACCGUGAGGGAAAGAUGAAAAGAACUUUGAAAAGAGAGUUAAACAGUACGUGAAAUUGUCAAAAGGGAAGCGUUUGACACCAGUGUUGUUUUUCUGAAAAUCAAUUAAAGAACUGUUUAUGCUAAGCUGUUUAGACUUUAUCAGCUAUCUGUUUAGUUUUGAGCUUUUCUUUAAUGCACUUUUCAGUUAACAAGUCAACAUCAAUUUCUUUUGCUGUAAAAAAGCUUGAGGAAGGUGGCUUGAGAUUCGUCUUAAGUGUUUAUAGCCUCUUGCCUAUGCAGUCGGAGAGAUUGAGGUCUGCAGCGUAGAUCCUUCGGGGCUAAAUGCAUUUGUGCUAAGUUAUAGCAUUUUAUAGACAACUUGUUGACUAUGAUUUGUCUUGUAGCUUACUCGCUUAUGUUAUUUUACCUACGCUUAGGAUGUUGAGCGCAUGUCUCUCUCU